This is a long non-coding RNA of Prionailurus viverrinus (fishing cat), 761 nucleotides long. RefSeq lists it as uncharacterized. The record is from RefSeq and is a predicted model, not a curated record. Lineage: Eukaryota; Metazoa; Chordata; Mammalia; Carnivora; Felidae. The transcript has 4 exons.
GGAAGUCAUACACCUGUCCCAAAAACAGAAACCAGGCCAAACAGAAAAUUGAUACCAAAAACUGUUACCUACGGCAGCAAUUUGAACAAACAAUGGGAAAAGUUCUACCAAGACAAAGUUCUGAAUAAGAAGACCCAUGACUCUGACUUCCUCUCAACCCUGUGCAGGAUGCUGAAACACUGAACUGGUGAUUUAAACCCACAUAAUGAAGGACUCCCACAGCAGCCAGGCCAGCCAUUUCACCACUGGCCUGAUGACUCCCAGCUCCCAGGGCUCAACUGAAACCUCAGAAAUAACUCUCUCUGCGCAGCUGAAGGGACACCUGGAACACGUGGUGAUUCCCAAAAAGUGUUUUAAAAAUUCCUCUCCAAUUGCAUCAGAAGAUACUUAUCUAUUAAAGGAAAUGCAAAAAUCAAGCAGAGGAUGCUUAAGAUGGCAAAAAAAAAAAAAAAAAAAAAAGGAAAGAAAGAAAGAAAGAAAAGGAAACAAGAAUCUAUAGAGUACCAUCACACAACCUUACCUAAUAUUUUGCAAAAUGUCUUGGAGAAAAUCAGAGACAUCCAGAUGUAGGUGGUCCAAGUUGAGGACUUCAUCAUUUUCACCCCUCAAGAGAGUGAGUUAUCCUACCAAAGGGAUAGCCAGAUGUCCUCACAUCAGUGAAUAAUCAGUCUUUCCCUCAAUUGUUUGAAAUGUCACAUCCAUCAUAUACUCCUUUGCAUUGUAUAUUGAUUCCUUUCUGGACUCCUGGUUCCAAAUGACCA